GGCCGAGUGCCCGAGCGGUCUAAGGGGACGGAUUGCAAAUCCGUUGCGCAAGCUUCGUGGGUUCGAAUCCCACCUCGGCCU
RNAcentral lists this transfer RNA (81 nucleotides) under Pseudomonadota bacterium. RNAcentral describes it as "tRNA-Cys". It matches the Rfam family "tRNA". From Rfam's summary of the family: Transfer RNA (tRNA) molecules are approximately 80 nucleotides in length. Their secondary structure includes four short double-helical elements and three loops (D, anti-codon, and T loops). Further hydrogen bonds mediate the characteristic L-shaped molecular structure. tRNAs have two regions of fundamental functional importance: the anti-codon, which is responsible for specific mRNA codon recognition, and the 3' end, to which the tRNAs corresponding amino acid is attached (by aminoacyl-tRNA synthetases). tRNAs cope with the degeneracy of the genetic code in two manners: having more than one tRNA (with a specific anti-codon) for a particular amino acid; and 'wobble' base-pairing, i.e. permitting non-standard base-pairing at the 3rd anti-codon position. The record is from RNAcentral. Lineage: Bacteria; Pseudomonadati; Pseudomonadota. RNAcentral also lists the same sequence under 2 other names.